This 504-nucleotide ribosomal RNA is filed under the name uncultured bacterium. RNAcentral describes it as "partial 16S ribosomal RNA". It matches the Rfam family "Bacterial small subunit ribosomal RNA", at positions 29 to 523 of the family's 1533-position model. The record is from RNAcentral.
AUUGAACGCUGGCGGCAGGCCUAACACAUGCAAGUCGAACGGUAGCACAGAGAGCUUGCUCUCGGGUGACGAGUGGCGGACGGGUGAGUAACGUCUGGGAAACUGCCCGAUGGAGGGGGAUAACUACUGGAAACGGUAGCUAAUACCGCAUAACGUCGCAAGACCAAAGUGGGGGACCUUCGGGCCUCACACCAUCGGAUGGGCCCAGAUGGGAUUAGCUAGUAGGUGGGGUAAUGGCUCGCCUAGGCGACGAUCCCUCGCUGGUCUGAGAGGAUGACCAGCCACACUGGAACUGAGACACGGUCCAGACUCCUACGGGAGGCAGCAGUGGGGAAUAUUGCACAAUGGGCGCAAGCCUGAUGCAGCCAUGCCGCGUGUAUGAAGAAGGCCUUCGGGUUGUAAAGUACUUUCAGCGGGGAGGAAGGCGGUGAAGUUAAUAGCUUCACCGAUUGACGUUACCCGCAGAAGAAGCACCGGCUAACUCCGUGCCAGCCGCCACCGUAA